UUUUAUUAUAAAUGAUAUGGCAAAACGACGUUUGCCCGGGCAGCUAGUAAUAUAUAACAUUGUUUUCUUUAAACAAUGAUGCAGCAUUUAUUUUAAUAUAUUCUACUUCCUAAAAGCACUAAUAAAAUGGUACAUUGUUUUUAAUUCGUUAAAGCAAUAUUAUUUACCAAAAUUCA
Molecule: long non-coding RNA, 176 nt
Organism: Pieris napi
Lineage: Eukaryota; Metazoa; Arthropoda; Insecta; Lepidoptera; Pieridae
Exons: 2
Source: RefSeq, a predicted model, not a curated record